This 323-nucleotide unclassified non-coding RNA is filed under the name soil metagenome. RNAcentral describes it as "partial contains 5.8S ribosomal RNA, internal transcribed spacer 2, and large subunit ribosomal RNA". The stretch from base 1 to 120 matches the Rfam family "5.8S ribosomal RNA", at positions 35 to 154 of the family's 154-position model. The record is from RNAcentral.
GAUGAAGAACGUAGCGAAAUGCGAUAAGUAAUGCGAAUUGCAGAAUUCAGUGAGUCAUCGAAUCUUUGAACGCACAUUGCGCCCUGUGGUAUUCCGCAGGGCAUGCCUGUUCGAGCGUCAUUUCAACCCUCAAGCCUCGCUUGGUGUUGGGCCCUGCCCGCCGCGGCCGGCCCUAAAGAUAGUGGCGGCGCCGCCUGGCCCUCAGCGUAGUACAGCUCUCGCUCCAGGGUCCGGCGGCAGCCUGCCAGAACCCCCCAACUCUGUGGUUGACCUCGGAUCAGGUAGGGAUACCCGCUGAACUUAAGCAUAUCAAUAGCGGAGGA